Molecule: ribosomal RNA, 462 nt
Filed under: uncultured bacterium
Lineage: Bacteria
Description: partial 16S ribosomal RNA
Rfam family: Bacterial small subunit ribosomal RNA
Source: RNAcentral
GACGAACGCUGGCGGCGUGCUUAACACAUGCAAGUCGAACGGAAAGGCCCUUCGGGGUACUCGAGUGGCGAACGGGUGAGUAACACGUGGGUGAUCUGCCCUGCACUUUGGGAUAAGCCUGGGAAACUGGGUCUAAUACCGAAUAGGACCACGCGCUUCAUGGUGUGUGGUGGAAAGCUUUUGCGGUGUGGGAUGGGCCCGCGGCCUAUCAGCUUGUUGGUGGGGUAAUGGCCUACCAAGGCGACGACGGGUAGCCGGCCUGAGAGGGUGACCGGCCACACUGGGACUGAGAUACGGCCCAGACUCCUACGGGAGGCAGCAGUGGGGAAUAUUGCACAAUGGGCGCAAGCCUGAUGCAGCGACGCCGCGUGAGGGAUGGCGGCCUUCGGGUUGUAAACCUCUUUCAAUAGGGACGAAGCGCAAGUGACGGUACCUAUAGAAGAAGCACCGGCCAACUACGUG